RNAcentral lists this ribosomal RNA (253 nucleotides) under uncultured bacterium. Its description in RNAcentral is "partial 16S ribosomal RNA". It matches the Rfam family "Bacterial small subunit ribosomal RNA", at positions 524 to 776 of the family's 1533-position model. The record is from RNAcentral.
UACGUAGGGUGCAAGCGUUGUCCGGAAUCAUUGGGCGUAAAGCGCGCGUAGGUGGCUUCGUAAGUCCGUUGUGAAAGUCAAAGGCUCAACCUUUGAAAGCCGAUGGAUACUGCGGAGCUAGAGUACGGAAGAGGCGAGUGGAAUUCCUGGUGUAGCGGUGGAAUGCGCAGAUAUCAGGAGGAACACCAAUAGCGAAGGCAGCUCGCUGGGACGGUACUGACGCUAAGGCGCGAAAGCGUGGGGAGCGAACAGG